AGGUUGUCUUCCACGGUGGAGAUAGACUGAUGAUUUGGGGUCUUGCAGUUCGUCUUCUGUAGGAAGGAACAGUGAUGAUUCCGGUGAAUCACAAUCGGAUGAUGAUGAUGACUCCCCGGAGGCUGAAGUGCAAAGCCAGCCGAAGGGACCUUUGGACACCAUGGAUGCUCUCGAGAGGUUUUGCCUAUGAGAAGAGGCAUAUCCCAGUUUUAUAAUGGCAAAUAGAAGUCCUUUAUGAAUCUAGCUGGUGCGAUGGCUGCUCCCUCUGUCAAAGAUUUCGCAAAGCCAGAAGAUCCCUACAAUAAGAAACGCAAGAACUUGUUAGUCGAGAAGAAGCGCUAUAAUCCUUUGAGAAACUAUGUAACUGAGAUAUCCAUGAAAGUAGCCAACACCAACCAAAGCACAGUGCUCAGGAAUCCACAAGCAGCUCUGACAUAAACUCAACCGUAUCAUCCCCAUCUGGCUG
Molecule: long non-coding RNA, 466 nt
Organism: Hibiscus syriacus
Lineage: Eukaryota; Viridiplantae; Streptophyta; Magnoliopsida; Malvales; Malvaceae
Exons: 3
Source: RefSeq, a predicted model, not a curated record